UACGGAGGGUGCAAACGUUGCUCGGAAUCAUUGGGCGUAAAGCGCACGUAGGUGGUUUGUUAAGUCGGGUGUGAAAUCCCUGGGCUCAACCCAGGAAGUGCACUCGAAACUGGCAGACUUGAGUACUGAAGAGGGUCGCGGAAUUCCCGGUGUAGAGGUGAAAUUCGUAGAUAUCGGGAGGAACACCAGUGGCGAAGGCGGCGACCUGGUUCGAUACUGACGCUGAGGUGCGAAAGCGUGGGGAGCAAACAGG
RNAcentral lists this ribosomal RNA (253 nucleotides) under uncultured bacterium. Its description in RNAcentral is "partial 16S ribosomal RNA". It matches the Rfam family "Bacterial small subunit ribosomal RNA", at positions 524 to 776 of the family's 1533-position model. The record is from RNAcentral.